CACUUCUGAGCAACAUGGUUUGUUUUUCUGUCAACCCUUGCUUUAUUUGGAUCCCUUGUUCAUUUACAUUUCAUGUAAUUAGUGCUGUACUGGGUGUAAAUCGAUGAUCUUAAUUGCUUUUCAUUUUCCCAGCCUAGUCCAUCUUAGGUUUCUGUCUCCUGUUUUGGGUUAUUUAAAAAAAGUUCUAGUUUUCCCCUGUUUGUUAGCUGAAUCAUACACCUUCUUAUUAUUCUUCAGGUGGUUACUCCUGCCUCGUCUCAGAACCUCGGGACUUGGUACUUUGUACCUGGUGUCCGCCCGCCCCUUGCCCUCCAGCUCUCCAGUCCUUGCAGCUUCUUGGAUCUUCCUUCCACCCCCCACUCACCACCACCCCCCCCCCCCCGCCCUUUAGCAUUUCCUUUAGUGCUGAUCUGGCGGUGAUGCGUUAUUUCCCGUUUUUGCCUGAAAACAUCUGACUUUUCAUUUCUUUAAAAAUUUUUUUAAAAUUUUUAAAAAUGUUUUUACUUAUUUUUGAGACAGAGAGAGACAGAGCAUGAGCAGGGGAGAGGCAGAGAGAGAGGGAGACACGGAAUCUGAGGCAGGCUCCGGGCUCUGAGCUGUCAGCACAGAGCCUGACGUGGGUUCGAACUCACAGAGUGUGGUAUCAUGACCUGAGCUGAAGUCGGACGCUCAACCGAUUGAGCCACCCAGGUGCCCCUCUUUAAUAAAAACUUUAAUGUUAAUUUAUUUGUGAGACAAAGAGUGUGAGCGGGGGAGGAACAGAGAGAGAAGGAGACACAGAAUCGGAAGCAGGCUCCAGGCUCCGAGCUGUCAGCACAGAGCCCAACACGGGGCUCGAACUCACGAACUGUGAGAUCAUGACCUGAGCCGAAGUCGGGAGCUUAACCGACAGAACCCCCCAGGCGCCCCUGUACUUUUCAUUUAAAGGGCAUUUUCAUGGAGUUGUGGAUUCUAGGUUGGUAGCUGCAGUCUUCCCGCCCCUCUGCAGCCCUCCCACUUUCCCGUCCGCAUCCGGAAUUCUUCUUGAAGCCUUACUACUGCCCCUUUUAAGGUACCUUCUCUUUCUGCUCCUUUUAAAGUGAUGUCUUUUUCUUUGGCUGCUUCAAAGCCUUCUCUUUGCCUUUGAUUUUCAGCAGUUUUACUCUUACUUUGAGGAGGGUCAUUCAUUUGCUCAUCCUGUUCCGUCUCUCGCUUUGCUCUCGGCAGGGCUCCGAGUUACGAGUUUGUCGCUGCCGAAAUCCUGCAAUCAGAACUUCGUUUGCAAACUCACCAGGUCCUACGUAGCUGACGUCGCCGAGGACAUACGGUGUCCCACGCCACACCGAAGCUCUGAUUGCUUCCUCUUACGUUCCUCGUACCUUUUUCUGGAAUAAACCAAAGGCACACUGAAUGGAUUCUGCCGUACUUGCUACCGGCGUUUCUUUAACACCCACGGCUCUUUCCUCCUCCUCUGCUCGUGCCUGGGCAUCACUUACCGCUGCUGGGGAUGGUGCUGGGCCUGAGGAGGUUUCUAGACUUUGCUACAAACCAUGUGAACCUGACAAAGUAUGCACACGAUAUACAAACAAUUCUUUUAUUUAUUUAUUUUGAAUAAAAAAGUGGCCAAGAUAA
Long non-coding RNA from Neofelis nebulosa (Clouded leopard), 1611 nucleotides. RefSeq lists it as uncharacterized. The transcript has 2 exons. The record is from RefSeq and is a predicted model, not a curated record. Lineage: Eukaryota; Metazoa; Chordata; Mammalia; Carnivora; Felidae.